AGCAUUUUUGUUGGUUCCCAUCUUCAGGUGGAUCACUCAAGUGUUCAGUAGAGGGCCUGUUGAUAAGCUUGAAUCGAUUAUUUUUUGUUAAUAUUGAUACACGCUACUGCAUGGACUUCAUUUACAUGUGACUGCUGGGAUAACAUAUAAACUGUUCGAAACAAAACAUGUCAGGAAGAAUGAACCGAUUGGACUGGUGUUUUCAGAUUUCACUGGCCAUAUUAUUUGGAUCCUUGGCCAAUACAACAAAUGGUUAUAACGAGACGCUUAUAGCAACGUGGGCGGGGACAUUGGUCAAUUCACCAGGAUUUAUAUACGGCCUCAAAUACGGACCGUAUGUACCUACUACACAUU
Molecule: long non-coding RNA, 354 nt
Organism: Mya arenaria
Lineage: Eukaryota; Metazoa; Mollusca; Bivalvia; Myida; Myidae
Exons: 3
Source: RefSeq, a predicted model, not a curated record